UACAUAUGACGAGACACAGCACUGGGCACUGAGGCAUUUUUCAAAGGAAAGAAGCCACGUGAGUGACACCGCUUGUAGUGGGCUUAGAAACCCCACGUUACUGAUCUG
Molecule: small nucleolar RNA, 108 nt
Filed under: Lachancea mirantina
Lineage: Eukaryota; Fungi; Ascomycota; Saccharomycetes; Saccharomycetales; Saccharomycetaceae
Source: RNAcentral